Non-coding RNA from Lonchura striata (white-rumped munia), 271 nucleotides. NCBI's taxonomy places the organism in Eukaryota, Metazoa, Chordata, Aves, Passeriformes, Estrildidae. The record is from RefSeq and is a predicted model, not a curated record.
UUCAUUCCUUUUAUAUUACAUGCUUUUUUUCACAAAAAUAUUAAUUGUAGAUUUCAUUCAGACAGAUACCUGGAAGAUAGACACUGUCCUACUUUCUUUCGUGCUGCCUGCACUUGUGUGCAACCUGCAGAGGAGGAUGGACUAAAACCUGUCAGCAUACUGAAAUAAUGUUCUUAGGAGUGAAAUAUUGUCAAAGUCAUGACUCUACAUAUCAUUUAAUGUCUUAAAGAAAUGGCAAAAAAAGUCCAAUUUUUCCUGCAUGUGCUAAAUA